RNAcentral lists this ribosomal RNA (460 nucleotides) under uncultured bacterium. RNAcentral describes it as "partial 16S ribosomal RNA". It matches the Rfam family "Bacterial small subunit ribosomal RNA", at positions 338 to 795 of the family's 1533-position model. The record is from RNAcentral.
CCUACGGGAGGCAGCAGUGAGGAAUAUUGGUCAAUGGACGAGAGUCUGAACCAGCCAAGUAGCGUGAAGGAUGACUGCCCUAUGGGUUGUAAACUUCUUUUAUAUGGGAAUAAAAUGUUCCACGUGUGGGAUUUUGUAUGUACCAUAUGAAUAAGGAUCGGCUAACUCCGUGCCAGCAGCCGCGGUAAUACGGAAGAUCCGAGCGUUAUCCGGAUUUAUUGGGUUUAAAGGGAGCGUAGGUGGAUUGUUAAGUCAGUUGUGAAAGUUUGCGGCUCAACCGUAAAAUUGCAGUUGAAACUGGCAGUCUUGAGUACAGUAGAGGUGGGCGGAAUUCGUGGUGUAGCGGUGAAAUGCUUAGAUAUCACGAAGAACUCCGAUUGCGAAGGCAGUUCACUGGACUGCAACUGACACUGAGGCUCGAAAGUGUGGGUAUCAAACAGGAUUAGAUACCCCUGUAGUC